UACGUAGGGUGCGAGCGUUGUCCGGAAUUAUUGGGCGUAAAGAGCUUGUAGGCGGUUUGUCGCGUCUGCUGUGAAAAUCCGGGGCUCAACCCCGGACUUGCAGUGGGUACGGGCAGACUAGAGUGUGGUAGGGGAGACUGGAAUUCCUGGUGUAGCGGUGAAAUGCGCAGAUAUCAGGAGGAACACCGGUGGUGUAGACGGCUCUCUGGACCGUAACUGACGCUGAGACGCGAAAGCGUGGGGAGCGAACAGG
Molecule: ribosomal RNA, 253 nt
Filed under: uncultured bacterium
Lineage: Bacteria
Description: partial 16S ribosomal RNA
Rfam family: Bacterial small subunit ribosomal RNA
Source: RNAcentral